AGAGUUUGAUCCUGGCUCAGAUUGAACGCUGGCGGCAUGCCUAACACAUGCAAGUCGAACGGAAACGAUGGGAGCUUGCUCCCAGGCGUCGAGUGGCGGACGGGUGAGUAAUAUUUAGGAAUCUACCCAGUAGCGGGGGACAACUCGAGGAAACUCGAGCUAAUACCGCAUACGCCCUACGGGGGAAAGCAGGGGAUCUUCGGACCUUGCACUAUUGGAUGAGCCUAAGUCGGAUUAGCUUGUUGGUGAGGUAAAGGCUCACCAAGGCGACGAUCCGUAGCUGGUCUGAGAGGACGAUCAGCCACACUGGGACUGAGACACGGCCCAGACUCCUACGGGAGGCAGCAGUGGGGAAUAUUGGACAAUGGGGGCAACCCUGAUCCAGCAAUGCCGCGUGUGUGAAGAAGGCCUGCGGGUUGUAAAGCACUUUCAGUAGAGAAGAAAAGCCCACGGCUAAUACCCGUGAGUCUUGACGUUACCUACAGAAGAAGCUCCGGCUAACUCCGUGCCAGCAGCCGCGGUAAUACGGAGGGAGCGAGCGUUAAUCGGAAUUACUGGGCGUAAAGCGCGCGUAGGCGGCUUUGUAAGUCGGAUGUGAAAGCCCUGGGCUCAACCUGGGAAUGGCAUUCGAUACUGCAGAGCUAGAGUAUGGUAGAGGGAAGUGGAAUUUCCGGUGUAGCGGUGAAAUGCGUAGAUAUC
Molecule: ribosomal RNA, 699 nt
Filed under: uncultured bacterium
Lineage: Bacteria
Description: bacterial SSU rRNA
Rfam family: Bacterial small subunit ribosomal RNA
Source: RNAcentral